UGUCCGAUGGCUGAGGUAGAAGCGGUAGACUGUAGAUCUAUUAACGGAGUUAAGUUUCCUCGACAA
This 66-nucleotide transfer RNA is filed under the name Conus goudeyi. RNAcentral's name for it is "tRNA-Tyr". It matches the Rfam family "tRNA". From Rfam's summary of the family: Transfer RNA (tRNA) molecules are approximately 80 nucleotides in length. Their secondary structure includes four short double-helical elements and three loops (D, anti-codon, and T loops). Lineage: Eukaryota; Metazoa; Mollusca; Gastropoda; Neogastropoda; Conidae. The record is from RNAcentral.